This 381-nucleotide ribosomal RNA is filed under the name Burkholderia sp. CAS34. Its description in RNAcentral is "bacterial SSU rRNA". It matches the Rfam family "Bacterial small subunit ribosomal RNA", at positions 967 to 1352 of the family's 1533-position model. Lineage: Bacteria; Pseudomonadati; Pseudomonadota; Betaproteobacteria; Burkholderiales; Burkholderiaceae. The record is from RNAcentral.
AACCUUACCUACCCUUGACAUGGUCGGAAUCCUGAAGAGAUUCGGGAGUGCUCGAAAGAGAACCGGCGCACAGGUGCUGCAUGGCUGUCGUCAGCUCGUGUCGUGAGAUGUUGGGUUAAGUCCCGCAACGAGCGCAACCCUUGUCCUUAGUUGCUACGCAAGAGCACUCUAAGGAGACUGCCGGUGACAAACCGGAGGAAGGUGGGGAUGACGUCAAGUCCUCAUGGCCCUUAUGGGUAGGGCUUCACACGUCAUACAAUGGUCGGAACAGAGGGUUGCCAACCCGCGAGGGGGAGCUAAUCCCAGACACCCGUUCUUAGUCCGGAUUGCACUCUGCAACUCGAGUGCAUGAAGCUGGAAUCGCUAGUAAUCGCGGAUCAG